Molecule: long non-coding RNA, 375 nt
Filed under: Elaeis guineensis (African oil palm)
Lineage: Eukaryota; Viridiplantae; Streptophyta; Magnoliopsida; Arecales; Arecaceae
Description: long non-coding RNA (EGUI_LNC031415)
Source: RNAcentral
UGGCCCAAGUUCAAAAAUAUCCCAGGUCGAGGAAGCUUGAAAGCUCCGUAGGCAGAUGGAAGGAUAGAAGAUCUCCGACAAGUAAAAAGAUCUCCGCGAAGGAGCUAUCACUUGAGAAGUCUGUCCUAGCAAUUCAACGGCUACACUCCUCUGUCCACCUCACGAUCUCAGAUUUUGAUGAAAAUUGAGAGCCAAAGAUAUCUAUGGUGAUUUGGGUAGAUGAAGACCUCUCGGAUAGGAGUAGGAGGAGAUAUUAUCAGUUCUACCACGACCACAACCACAAUACCAAGGAAUACCACCAGCUCAUGGACGAGAUUGAAGCCUUGAUCCAUAGAGGCUAUCUUGGUAAGUAUGUGCAAAAGCGAUACAAUCGAG